CAUUUCAUCAUGCUUGAACUAGGAUACAGAUGGUUUAAAGGUCAUGGAUGAUUAAAUCUGUAGUAUCUGGCCUUGUUAAGGUGGCUGCAGGUAUACUGUCUAGUAGCCAUAGUCAGGAUACUUUCAUCGGAGUCCAUCAAAGUCAUUAAAAGAGAGUGGAGAAAGAAAAAUAAUAUAGAUAGAGAAGUAUUCUAGAGAAAAAGUAGAG
Molecule: long non-coding RNA, 208 nt
Filed under: Elaeis guineensis (African oil palm)
Lineage: Eukaryota; Viridiplantae; Streptophyta; Magnoliopsida; Arecales; Arecaceae
Description: long non-coding RNA (EGUI_LNC024131)
Source: RNAcentral